Salmo trutta (river trout) is the source of this 1648-nucleotide long non-coding RNA. The record is from Ensembl. Lineage: Eukaryota; Metazoa; Chordata; Actinopteri; Salmoniformes; Salmonidae.
ACCAAACCAGUCUCAUCUAUAACCCCCUAUUGAUGCCCAUGUUUUCAACCAGAGCUACAUCUCUUCUGACUCAUCCACUAUAACACACCUUUUUGAUCCUUUAAAAUCAGUCUAAAAGCACAUCAAGUCAUUGAACUAAAUUAUAAGAAUCCUCAAUAGCCCUCAAGCUAAUGUAAUAGACACCUUCCUUUAAUGUCUUUGAUGAACCGCAGCACAGUUUGACUGUAUGAAACGACACUGGAUUUAUCAAGCAUCCCUUAUCCUAUACUAGUUCAUUUAAAUGAAAGGAAAUGACACAACCUAACUCCUGAUAAAAGCUUGAAAUUAAAUGGGAUUUCAAUAGACCUACUUAAUGAUCAGGUGUUCCUUUACAUUUUUUCCCAUCUGGUCAUGUUAUUGUUUCUUUGAAUAAUUCCCAACCCUGCUCCUUAUCUAUAUCAUGUACAGUUUAAUGAAAGUUUGCUCAUAUAACCAACACAACUCUUCUUUUUCCUAUUUCAGCCCUCUGUGAUGGAGAGAAGGUUUUCCAGUGAUGGCAACAGUUCCUAUGACAACCAGACCUCCACCGGGGGAUUGCGUCUGUCAGACAGUGCUAAUGAUAAUUGAGAGGCUGGAGUGGGCAGGCGUGCAGGUUUGGCCACAGGAAGACAUGAAUUCCUCAGAGAACAGAGGGUGUCAGGGUCCAGAACACAACUUGGGGGGGAGACAUACUGGACCUUGUAACGUCUAAUAAUCCUCCGAGUUGACCCCUGACCCCGGCCUGUGUUUGUAUCAGGUCAUCGACUUGAGAAAUCGGAUUGAGUCACUCCAGCAGUGUGUUUACCUUCUGGAGUCACGCAAGGAAGGAAAUAAGGCACGGUCUUCUAAAAGUGGCGGUGUGAGAGAGAAUAGCAGCAGUAUUAGAUCAGAGCCCUGAUUCAUCACACUGUGACUGGCCUCUUGUCCCGUUACACUGGGUUUAUUUAAUCUAUUCAUUACUGUAGGGAGACUAGCUACAGAUCAGCCAAAACAGGGAGUCAGUCUACAGUAUAGCGUACUGUAUGAAAACAUAAGGUAUGAGAUUAAUAGUGUAAUUCUGUAAUUGAAGUCUGAUUCACUCAUUGAGUGAAAUGAUCCGUGUACUGCAGUGAGGGUACAGCUUGUUUUUGCUAUCACUGUGUAAUAUGUUGCUAAUAGUCCGAACGUGUAUUAUUUUUGUCAUAAUAUUCUGCUGAGUGUGUUGCAGUCGUUCCAGUUUUUUGCUGUGCCCAAUGAAAUUAGGAGAGAUUUAGUCAUUUCCUUUCUCUGUCUCAUGCAACAAUCAUAAAUGAUAUGUGAAUGUGAUUUUUCUGUGUAAUAAUAAUUUAUUGCAAUACAUUUCUGACUCCCGGAUACAGAUUAUAUCUGGAAGAUCCCUUGUAAUACGCUUUAGAGGAGAAAUCGCUGCAUUCCCAAAUACAUUGUUUUUAUCUUGAACAUGAAACUGGAAUGAGUAUGGAACUGUGGCCAACACCUGUGAUUAAAAUACAAUGUCCGGGCCUACCAUCACGCUGUAUGUAGCCUUCCACACCGUGGGCUUGUGUGAUUGCACAAUUGUUGUUUUUGAGCAAGUGCCCCUGUUAGUUUUACUCUGUAAAUAAAGAUGUGCUCCGAGCUGACAAUUCAUCCU